UGGGGAAUAUUGCGCAAUGGGGGGCAACCCUGACGCAGCAACGCCGCGUGAUCGAAGAAGGUCUUCGGAUUGUAAAGAUCUUUUAUCAGGGACGAAUAAGAUGACGGUACCUGAUGAAUAAGCUCCGGCUAACUACGUGCCAGCAGCCGCGGUAAUACGUAGGGAGCGAGCGUUAUCCGGAUUUACUGGGUGUAAAGGGCGAGUAGGCGGGCUGGUAAGUUGGAAGUGAAAUGUCGGGGCUUAACCCCGGAACUGCUUUCAAAACUGCUGGUCUUGAGUGAUGGAGAGGCAGGCGGAAUUCCUAGUGUAGCGGUGAAAUGCGUAGAUAUUAGGAGGAACACCAGUGGCGAAGGCGGCCUGCUGGACAUUAACUGACGCUGAGGAGCGAAAGCGUGGGGAGCAAACAGGAUUAGAUACCC
Molecule: ribosomal RNA, 419 nt
Filed under: uncultured bacterium
Lineage: Bacteria
Description: bacterial SSU rRNA
Rfam family: Bacterial small subunit ribosomal RNA
Source: RNAcentral